AGAAAUCCUAUUCGCUAAUACCGAGUGGGGAUGACGGUACCGGAAGAAUAAGCACCGGCUAACUACGUGCCAGCAGCCGCGGUAAUACGUAGGGUGCGAGCGUUAAUCGGAAUUACUGGGCGUAAAGCGUGCGCAGGCGGUUGUGCAAGACAGAUGUGAAAUCCCCGGGCUCAACCUGGGAAUUGCAUUUGUGACUGCACGGCUAGAGUGUGUCAGAGGGGGGUAGAAUUCCACGUGUAGCAGUGAAAUGCGUAGAGAUGUGGAGGAAUACCGAUGGCGAAGGCAGCCCCCUGGGAUAACACUGACGCUCAUGCACGAAAGCGUGGGGAGCAAACAGGAUUAGAUACCCUGGUAGUCCACGCCCUAAACGAUGUCGACUAGUUGUCGGGUCUUAAUUGACUUGGUAACGCAGCUAACGCGUGAAGUUGACCGCCUGGGGAGUACGGUCGCAAGAUUAAAACUCAAAGGAAUUGACGGGGACCCGCACAAGCGGUGGAUGAUGUGGAUUAAUUCGAUGCAACGCGAAAAACCUUACCUACCCUUGACAUGUACGGAACCCUGCUGAAAGGUGGGGGUGCUCGAAAGUGAGCCGUAACACAGGUGCUGCAUGGCUGUCGUCA
RNAcentral lists this ribosomal RNA (620 nucleotides) under uncultured bacterium. Its description in RNAcentral is "bacterial SSU rRNA". It matches the Rfam family "Bacterial small subunit ribosomal RNA", at positions 446 to 1057 of the family's 1533-position model. The record is from RNAcentral.